RNAcentral lists this ribosomal RNA (429 nucleotides) under Acidobacteriota bacterium. Its description in RNAcentral is "Acidobacteria bacterium partial 16S ribosomal RNA". It matches the Rfam family "Bacterial small subunit ribosomal RNA", at positions 355 to 776 of the family's 1533-position model. Lineage: Bacteria; Pseudomonadati; Acidobacteriota. The record is from RNAcentral.
UGGGGAAUUUUGGACAAUGGGGGAAACCCUGAUCCAGCCAUCCCGCGUGUGCGAUGAAGGCCUUCGGGUUGUAAAGCACUUUUGGCAGGAAAGAAACGUCAUGGGUUAAUACCCCGUGAAACUGACGGUACCUGCAGAAUAAGCACCGGCUAACUACGUGCCAGCAGCCGCGGUAAUACGUAGGGUGCAAGCGUUAAUCGGAAUUACUGGGCGUAAAGCGUGCGCAGGCGGUUCGGAAAGAAAGGUGUGAAAUCCCAGAGCUCAACUUUGGAACUGCAUUUUUAACUACCGGGCUAGAGUGUGUCAGAGGGAGGUGGAAUUCCGCGUGUAGCAGUGAAAUGCGUAGAUAUGCGGAGGAACACCGAUGGCGAAGGCAGCCUCCUGGGAUAACACUGACGCUCAUGCACGAAAGCGUGGGGAGCAAACAGG